GGNUCAACCAUAGUUCGCUUUGGAAACUGUCAAACUUGAGUGCAGAAGGGGAGAGUGGAAUNCCAUGUGUAGCGGUGAAAUGCGUAGAUAUAUGGAGGAACACCGGUGGCGAAAGCGGCUCUCUGGUCUGUAACUGACGCUGAGGCUCGAAAGCGUGGGGAGCGAACAGGAUUAGAUACCCUGGUAGUNCACGCCGUAAACGAUGAGUGCUAGGUGUUGGAUCCUUUCCGGGAUUCAGUGCCGCAGCUAACGCAUUAAGCACUCCGCCUGGGGAGUACGACCGCAAGGUUGAAACUCAAAGGAAUUGACGGGGGCCCGCACAAGUGGUGGAGCAUGUGGUUUAAUUCGAAGCAACGCGAAGAACCUUACCAGGUCUUGACAUCCCGAUGCUAUUUCUAGAGAUAGGAAGUUACUUCGGUACAUCGGUGACAGGUGGUGCAUGGUUGUCGUCAGCUCGUGUCGUGAGAUGUUGGGUUAAGUCCCGCAACGAGCGCAACCCCUAUUGUUAGUUGCCAUCAUUCAGUUGGGCACUCUAGCAAGACUGCCGGUAAUAAACCGGAGGAAGGUGGGGAUGACGUCAAAUCAUCAUGCCCCUUAUGACCUGGGCUACACACGUGCUACAAUGGUUGGUACAACGAGUUGCGAGUCGGUGACGGCGAGCUAAUCUCUUAAAGCCAAUCUCAGUUCGGAUUGUAGGCUGCAACUCGCCUACAUGAAGUCGGAAUCGCUAGUAAUCGCGGAUCAGCACGCCGCGGUGAAUACGUUCCCGGGCCUUGUACACACCGCCCGUCACACCACGAGAGUUUGUAACACCCGAAGUCGGUGAGGUANCCUUA
Molecule: ribosomal RNA, 836 nt
Filed under: uncultured bacterium
Lineage: Bacteria
Description: bacterial SSU rRNA
Rfam family: Bacterial small subunit ribosomal RNA
Source: RNAcentral